CCACUUAUCUGUUGACACAAGAACAUACACCUUUAACCACUUAUCUGUUGACACACACGAACAUAUUCCUUUAACCACUUAUCUGUUGACACAAGAACAUACACCUUUAACCACUUAUCUGUUGACACACACGAACAUACACCUUUGACCACUUAUCUGUUGACACACGAACAUACACCUUUAUCCACUUAUCUGUUGACACAGGAAAAUCCUUCCUAUGACACAGUUCCCAGGUAUUUUUAUGACUUUCAAAUUUUCACAGCAAACUGGGAAUACGUUUGUUGGGUUGUUGUUUUUAAGGUUGGCUGGAGGUCUAGUGCCCAUCUGUAUUGUUACAGUAUGUUACCUCACUCACUCACUCAUUCACUGGUGUGGACACGUUGAGCUGUAUAUGUGGAGGUCACAACAGUCAGAGAGGAAGUGUCAAUGUGAAGUGUUUUAUCGUCCACUGGAGAUAUUGCUUGGGUGACAUGAAGCAAUGAAUUGCAACACAGUUGCUUUGGAGACCAUUGUGAUGUCAUUGGUUACCAUGAUGUCACAAUAAAAUGACAUCACUACCGUAAUCACUUUGUCACUGAAUUUGUUCAGCUGUACCUCUUACAAACUUACGGUGAAGUUUUAAACUCUUGUUGAUGUAUUUGAGAAGGAAAAAACAGAGGGUUGGGUUUGUCAAUGUAUCUACGUCACUUGUUGAAUGUAUGGAUUCCUUGACCUAGUCAAAGUAAUGAAUUCACCUUCAAAAUGUGUCGAAUCAAAUAGGUGCCUAGUGGUUAAUAGUCGAUGUUGUUCUCUCUCCGACAGGGUGUUAUUGCUGAAAGAUAUAGACCUUCUGUCACCUGGGUGUGAUUGUGCUGUCAUCAACGGACAACAAACCUCAAUGUUUCAUUCCCAGCCUUGUCUUAUUGUUAGCAUGUCGUAAAUAUAUGUAAACAUCUCAAACUUGUUACCAUGGUUACGUUGUAUUUUCUCUGUACAUAACCUGUAAAUAUCAGUGUUGAUCAUGAACCUAUGUAUUAAGCAGUGACAGAGUAGAUGAAGCGUUGGUCAUGUGUUGACCAUUACCAGCUUGUCAGCUUCAGUGUAUAUUGAAAAUAAAUUAUAUAAACAUUAUGUACAGUAUACAUGCGUAGCACACAGGCCCUGUCAGCUAAUCAGUGAGCUUUCGGACUUAAGCAGUGUCCCUAACAACCAAAAUGACUGAGAACUGCUACGUAGUAUGAAAGAUUAUAAAACAGCUCAGGUCUUCUCCCAUCCUACCACACCCAAGAUGCUCUGCUUCUCCCAUCCUACCACACCCAAGAUGCUCUACUUCUCCCAUCCUACUACACCCAAGAUGCUCUACUUCACCCAUCCUACCACACCCAAGAUGCUCAACUUCUCCCAUCCUACCACACCCAAGAUGCUCUACUUCUCCCAUCCUAACCCCCAAGAUGCUUUACUUCACCCACCCUACCACGCCCAAGAUGCUCUACUUCACCCGUCCUCCAGACACAGGCAUUUUGCAGUUAAGUGCAUUCACAUAAGCAGUUUUAUGGAAGUCUUUUCGAAGUAUAGUUUUUGAUGGGCAUUUAGAAGUUAGAAGAAUGUGAAGACAUGAAAUUUGUGGGUAGCAACUUCUUUAUUGUUUGUAACGUUUCAGGGCUACUUGCUAUUUUAUUAUGAUUUGAAGGGCUGCUUCUCAUCCCUUAAAUAUGUUUGGCAGUGGGGUAGCCUAGUGAUUAUGGAAGACUUGGGUUCGAUAAGCCACUUGGGUAGUUCUCAAAGAAGUUGUUAACUAUUAUGUUUCAUGACUUCCUUGGAAAAAUGUAUUAAAAUAUUUGGGCAAUGAAGACACUAUUGUUGAUGGGGUAUUUUGUGAUGUCUCAGUAGAUGAUGUGAUGAUGUCACAGUAGAUGAUGUGAUGAUGUCACAGUGGAUGAUGUGGUGUCUUGUGAUGUCACAGUACAUGAUGUGAUGAUUUCACAUUGGAUGAUGUGAUGGUGUCUUGUGAUGUCACAGUACAUGAUGUGAUGAUGUCACAGUGGAUGAUGUGAUGGUGUCUUGUGGACAUGUUUAGCUUCUGUGUGCAGAUUCCACAGACAACACUUCUCUGUGACUAUAUGUCAGGAUGCCUGUCAAAUACAAUACUUGUACAGAAUAUCUGUACAAUACACACAGAAAUGUUGUAGUGUCCGUGAACCAUCCUCACUUGGCAGGGGAAUUGGGGGCCCUCCAUGUCACAGUAUUUGGCAUUAUCAGAGCUAUUUUUUCACCAAGGUAGCUAUUAAAUGUUUUUGAAAUGCUUGAAAAUGUAUUACAUAAAGAUGUGUGGUAGUGUCAUGUAGGUAAGAAUUUAUGGACGUCAACUUCUUUAUUUUGAUGGACACGGCCUUUCGGAAUAUAUUCUUACUCCUACGUCAGGUGAAUGAAAGACUAGGAAACAGACAGCUAUAUAUGUACAUGUGUCAUGGUCUUGAAGUCGCUGCCAUUUGGACCCAGCGUGGACCCGCUUUGUGUAUGUCUGAAACUGUGCAAUGAAUAGUCUAUUUGCUAUCUUUCUAUUCAUCGUCAUAGAACUGGGGAGUUCCUCAGAUUAGUCGUCACUUGUUACAGGUAGUCCCAGUCUUUGUUGGUUGACGUGCAGAUAGAGAGGUACUGUACCACUUGGUCAGUCCAUGUUGUCGCCGCCGGUCCUGUUUAUCUUCCUGACAGUCAGAUGUAUGUGCAAUUGUUUCAUUACUGUGAAGCUAUGUCACAACCACAGCCACGCGUGUACUGGCGUGAUUGAUUCCAACGGGGUAAUUAGAAUUAUAGGAGUUCUCUCUAAUGUCCUUGUAAUGCGAGUUCCGGAAAUGUCAGUCUCCUGUAAUAUAUUUGAUAUGUACCAGAUUUUCACAACUAACAUGUUAUAAAGACCGUAUCUACCAAUGCAGUAACAGGAUUGUUUCCAUGCACCUGCCUGGGGACCUGUUUGUUACAUUGACAGUGCCCAUGUCGUACAGUAGCUGACAUACUGUAGCUCACAUCCAUAUUACUUGUAGUUUAGGUACAAGGCCCUGCCUGGCCCACCCACUUUAACCAUAGUUUAGGUACAAGGCCAACCCAUUUUACCCAUAGUUUAGGAACAAGGCCCACCGACUUUUCCCAUAGUUGGGUACAAGGCCCACCCACUUUACCCAUAGUUAGGUGCAAGGCCCAUCCACUUUAACCAUUAAUAGGUGCAAGGCCCAUCCAGUUUAACCAUAAAUAGGUGCAAGGCCCACCCACUUUAACCAUAGUUGGGUACAAGGCCCACCCACUUUAACCAUAGUUGGGUGCAAGGCCCACCCACUUUAACCAUAGUUGGGUGCAAGGCCCACCCACUUUAACCAUAGUUGGGUGCAAGGCCCACCCACUUAAACUUUAGUUAGUUGCAUGGCCCACCCACUUCACUCAUAGUUGGGUGCAAGGACCACCCACUUUACCCGUAGUUGGGUGCAAGGCCCGCUCACUUUACACAUAGUUUAGAUGCAAGACCCACCCACUUUACCCAUAGUUUAGAUGCAAGACCCACCCGCUUUACCCAUAGUUUAGGCACAAGACCCACCCAAUUUACCAAUAGUUUAGAUGGAAGACCCACCCACUUUACCCAUAGUUUAGGUAAAAGGCCCACCCACUUUACCCAUAGUUUAGGUACAAGACCUAGUAUUGAUUAGUUGAUCCUAAUUCUGGAAUCAAUAGUCUUAGUGGUUUCCCUCACCUAACCAUGUUGUGGUUGAGAAAUAGUUUCUCUAUGAUUUUGAUGACCUGUAGUUGUGUCAGUUUACUCAUUUUACAUUCAUGUCCGGAUUGGCCAGUGAAUGCCUGGCUUAGAAUCACCUGUACCAACAAUUGUGGGAAGUCACCUUAAUGGUUUGUGUUCCCAAUAGUCAGAGUGUUAAGAUUGUUAUUGACAAAAUGUUCCCCUAAACACUGGUUAAAUGCAAUGUACCUUUGGUGACAGGUAGAAACAUUGAUUUUUGGAAAUUUAUGUUACAAGUUAGAUAUUGUAAAUGGAAAUAAGCAGUGAGUUUGUGUGAGUGAGUGAGUUUGCAUGUCCUUUUUUUCUUGAUUCAACUCCAUAGUCAGCAUCUGUAGAGCGCAGCAUCAGUCGGCUCUAGUUUUAUUAGACUAACAUUUGAUGCAAAGUGAAAUAUUUGUAAAAUCUCAGUAUCUAUAUAUGUAUUUUUGUUGAUUUGUUGUGUCACACACCUAUGUCUCUAUGCAUCUGGAGAAGUGCUAUAAGCUGCUAGCGGCUAUUGUCUCACAGCCUGCAAACCUGCAUUUUGAAUGAACUAGCUUGGGUUCGGGCUAUAAGCUGUGUUGUCUAUAAGGGGAUUUAAUAUGUAGCUAGUCUUUGUUGGCUGACUUGUUGUUAGUGUUUCAACUUUAGCAUGUACAUUGUCAUAUUUCAGCAUUGUUAACUAUUUCUUUGGAGUCCUUUGAGAAUUGAGGAAACUGUUAAUAGUUCAUCACUUAUAUAUCCACUAUAUGUCAGUUGUCCAGGUUCCCAGAAACUACACGUUUAGCCUUGGAGGAUUGGAAGAUGUGUGCGAACAUGUUGGAGAUUGUAGGAGUGCUUCCAGCAGUGCUGGCAUCACACUUGGGAACAGGCAUUUGGUGAUGGACACUGAACGAGAGCCAGUACAAUCAUCUGUGUAUACUCUCUUUCUGCGUGUACUCUCCGUGACUUUCAGAUAUAUUUUGAACAGGGUUGUAUGAAGAUGACAUUGCAUAUAAUUGAUGAGACUUGUACAUAUAAUGUUGUUGAUUAUGAGUGUAUAUCUGACUACUUCUAUACUUGUGACAGGGAGCCAGAAGUAUUUCAUACUAUAUACAGGUUCAUAGUAUCAGUAAUCACUGAGGGGCACCAUGGCAUGAAACCAGUGUCACUCUCAGUCAUAGACAAGUAUACAUUGAAUCACAGGAAACUUUUGACCUCAUGGUAUUGUGUCACAGACUCAAAUCAUUAAUCCCCAUAUUCACUUAAUGUAUAGUGCAUGCAAUAUAUCACAAUUUUCAAUUCCUUCAAUGUAAUUGAAAACAUACUAAAAAAUUCAUAACAUAUGUUUCUAUAUAUUCAGGGUUUGGAUAGUAUUAUCCUCAACACUAGCUCUGUGCGAGAGGCAGAAGUCUUUUGUUUGUGUACAAAGGUAUUGACUAAGUGUGUGAAUGUUUCCAACUAGGGAUGGGAGAUGUCAAUCCUUGCUGUCAGUAGCUAGUUGUGGGGAAAACAGCAUCAGCCAACAGACUUGCAUGUCUAGUAGCUUUCCCACCCUCUGUUUUGCCUGACUUGACGAAGAAAUAAAAGUAUGAAUUUGU
This is a long non-coding RNA of Haliotis rubra (blacklip abalone), 5319 nucleotides long. RefSeq lists it as uncharacterized. The record is from RefSeq and is a predicted model, not a curated record. The transcript is spliced from 2 exons. Lineage: Eukaryota; Metazoa; Mollusca; Gastropoda; Lepetellida; Haliotidae.